AACAGUAAGAGAAGGAACAGGCGAUCUUCUUCAAUACCGACCCCUGCUUAUCGAGAAGCCUUUCGUCCGCCUCAUCUCUUCCUCUGCGUGUUUGUGUCGUGGGAAGCGGGCCUGGUGGAUUGUACACUGCCGAGAAGACUAUCUAUAUACUUGCAUUUAGUAAGCUUAUUUAGGAUUAAGCAUGUUUGAUUUCAAUUUAUUAGUGCAACAGACGUUGAGGACGCAUUAAGGAGCGCAAGUUUAUAUAAUCGAUGGACAGCCGACACCGUUUGGAUUGGUAUGGCUCCGACGUCGAACCUGAUCAUCCUCAAACCAAGAUGUGGAUUUUGCUGGUACUCUUUCUGGAGAUAGUUCAAUCUUCCUUCUCUAGUUUUCGAUAAAACGAGAAAAAAAAAUGUUCUUAAUUAGGUUUAAUUUUACUAGAAGACUUACGACAGACUGUGUUUAAUCAUUCUCUGGGAUGGCGCAACAUAAGCGCUGCUCUUUCUUUGGGAACGUAACUCUUGGUUCAGAUGUAUCCCUUCCUUAAGAGCUUUACCAUGUGGUUUUCCGUUGCUUAUGGAGCUGAGAGUGACAGAAUUGUUGGUAUUCCAGGAGAGGAAAAUCUUGUGAACUAGAAUCUAUCGGGAUACACUUGGCUAGGAGGAUCUUUUUUGGUGGUACAAUGGGCACCCAGACUGCAGAAACAUGAGUCCUGAUUUGAAGAGCCUGACCCAGCCAUUAUUCUGGGAAGGAUUGUGUUGAAAAGGAUUGAUUACAACUGACAAGUUAGUCCUAGUUGAUGGUUUACCCUUUGAUCACUUGCAAGCUCGUUUUGGACAUGUCCGGGCCUUUAACGUGACCAUGUCAGUCCUACUUACAUACCCUCAUGCAGCAUGCUUGUUUUGGACAUACAAAGCUGCAUGUUCAUUUUGCUUCUGAAAAGUCAGCAUGGGUAAAUUGGAGGUCCAAUAUAUUCCAAGUGAUGACCAACUCGCAUGUAUUUUCACCAAAGGUAUUCUUACUUCCUAGUGUUUUCAGGUAUUGAGGUUCAAUGUAUGUGCAUUCCCAUGCUCAACUUGAGAGGAGAGGGAAAACUGGUUUUGGCUACUGACUCCUCCGCUACAAGUUAUAUCUGAAGCCGCAGCAGCCUUUUAAAAAUGACUUUUUGCCGAGCAAUUUGAUGUCCACCAUGAAAGUCAUAUCAGAUGAGAUCGAUACUCUCGAUACCUUCUUUCCUUGUUAAAACAUAUAAGGUAUAUAUGAUUAUGAGCAUAGUGGAUGAGUCAAUUUGAAUUAAGAUUGGAUUAGUCUGGACUGAACCGAGGUGUAGCAGAUGUCAACUUCCGACAGUUUGAACCAAGUGGAGCCAGAGCAAGUUAGAAUGCGUUUGAGGAUGGAACCAUUUGGCAUGUUUACAGGCCUGACUCAUUCAAUAAUUCACACUAAGCAGCCUUUUAAAAAUGACUUUUUGCCUAGUAAUUUGAUGUCCACCAUGAAAGUUAUUUAUCAAACCAGACUAUUACUCUUAGUACAUUCUUUGCUUGUUAAAAACAUAUAGGGUGUUUUUAAUAAUUCCUGUUAGGCAUGGGAGAUUUUGGGUGUAAGUAAGUGGGAAUACCAUCAGGCUUUAUGUGUAUAGAUAUGUAAAUGUAUUGAGUAUAUAUGUCGGUAGAUGUGAUAAAUCUAAAAAGGGUUUGAACUAA
Long non-coding RNA from Carica papaya (papaya), 1685 nucleotides. RefSeq lists it as uncharacterized. The record is from RefSeq and is a predicted model, not a curated record. Lineage: Eukaryota; Viridiplantae; Streptophyta; Magnoliopsida; Brassicales; Caricaceae.